Micropterus dolomieu (smallmouth bass) is the source of this 478-nucleotide long non-coding RNA. RefSeq lists it as uncharacterized. The record is from RefSeq and is a predicted model, not a curated record. The transcript is spliced from 3 exons. Lineage: Eukaryota; Metazoa; Chordata; Actinopteri; Centrarchiformes; Centrarchidae.
ACUAGCUUGAUAUAAUCAGGAAAUAAAGUACGGAUAUCAUGAUAAAGGCUGCGAAGACACAGAAAACUAAGUUGUUGAAGGAAGCAAGGAAGAGAACAGAGGAAAUAUCAGACUGUUGCUGAGCUGGCGUUCUUUCUGCUGGAUUAGUCAGUAAUAACGUAUUAGCUGCUGGAUGUGUCUUGUAUUGCUCUUGUUAGCUAAAUCAACCAGAGUUUCACAGACAGAGAAUGAUUUCAUUUCUAUCUACAUGCACCGCAGGCCCUCUCACAUGGAGGUUGCCAUGUUUCCCCGCCGUGUUUCUACAGUAGCAGAACUGCAAAACCAAAUGAGGCCUAUCAGGAAGAGAACACCGAACUCCUGGGUGAAAGUCUAGUUCCUGGCUCAUCUGUCCACCACAACCACCUCCUUACUUGGACUUUUGUGUUAAAUAUCCUACACCUACCUUUAGCAUUAAUAAAAUUACGCUACAGCUUAUUCA